RNAcentral lists this ribosomal RNA (433 nucleotides) under uncultured bacterium. RNAcentral describes it as "partial 16S ribosomal RNA". It matches the Rfam family "Bacterial small subunit ribosomal RNA", at positions 29 to 507 of the family's 1533-position model. The record is from RNAcentral.
AGCGAACGCUGGCGGCAGGCCUAACACAUGCAAGUCGAACGGAUCCUUCGGGAUUAGUGGCGGACGGGUGAGGAACACGUGGGAACGUGCCCUUUGGUUCGGAACAACUCAGGGAAACUUGAGCUAAUACCGGAUGUGCCCUUCGGGGGAAAGAUUUAUCGCCAUUGGAGCGGCCCGCGUCUGAUUAGCUAGUUGGUGAGGUAACGGCCCACCAAGGCGACGAUCAGUAGCUGGUCUGAGAGGAUGAUCAGCCACACUGGGACUGAGACACGGCCCAGACUCCUACGGGAGGCAGCAGUGGGGAAUCGUGCGAAAUGGGCGAAAGACUGACGCAGCCAGGCCGCGUGAAUGAUGAAGGUCUUAGGAUAGUAAAAUUCUUUCAGCGGGGACGAUAAUGACGGUACCCGCAGAAGAAGCGCCGGCUAACUUCGUG